RNAcentral lists this ribosomal RNA (492 nucleotides) under uncultured bacterium. RNAcentral describes it as "partial 16S ribosomal RNA". It matches the Rfam family "Bacterial small subunit ribosomal RNA", at positions 29 to 507 of the family's 1533-position model. The record is from RNAcentral.
AGUGAACGCUGGCGGUAGGCCUAACACAUGCAAGUCGAACGGCAGCACAGUAAGAGCUUGCUCUUACGGGUGGCGAGUGGCGGACGGGUGAGGAAUACAUCGGAAUCUACUUUUUCGUGGGGGAUAACGUAGGGAAACUUACGCUAAUACCGCAUACGACCUACGGGUGAAAGCAGGGGAUCUUCGGACCUUGCGCGAUUGAAUGAGCCGAUGUCGGAUUAGCUAGUUGGCGGGGUAAAGGCCCACCAAUGCGACGAUCCGUAGCUGGUCUGAGAGGAUGAUCAGCCACACUGGAACUGAGACACGGUCCAGACUCCUACGGGAGGCAGCAGUGGGGAAUACUGGACAAUGGGCGCAAGCCUGAUCCAGCCAUACCGCGUGGGUGAAGAAGGCCUUCGGGUUGUAAAGCCCUUUUGUUGGGAAAGAAAAGCAGCAGGUUAAUACCCCGCUGUUCUGAAGGUACCCAAAGAAUAAGCACGGGCUAACUUCGUG